GUGGGGAAUAUUGGACAAUGGGCGAAAGCCUGAUCCAGCCAUGCCGCGUGUGUGAAGAAGGUCUUCGGAUUGUAAAGCACUUUAAGUUGGGAGGAAGGGCAGUAAGUUAAUACCUUGCUGUUUUGACGUUACCAACAGAAUAAGCACCGGCUAACUUCGUGCCAGCAGCCGCGGUAAUACGAAGGGUGCAAGCGUUAAUCGGAAUUACUGGGCGUAAAGCGCGCGUAGGUGGUUCAGCAAGUUGAAGGUGAAAUCCCCGGGCUCAACCUGGGAACUGCCUCCAAACCUACUGAGCUAGAGUACGGUAGAGGGUAGUGGAAUGUCCUGUGUAGCGGUGAAAUGCGUAGAUAUAGGAAGGAACACCAGUGGCGAAGGCGACUACCUGGACUGAUACUGACACUGAGGUGCGAAAGCGUGGGGAGCAAACAGGAUUAGAUACCCUUGUAGUCC
Molecule: ribosomal RNA, 450 nt
Filed under: uncultured bacterium
Lineage: Bacteria
Description: partial 16S ribosomal RNA
Rfam family: Bacterial small subunit ribosomal RNA
Source: RNAcentral